This 459-nucleotide ribosomal RNA is filed under the name uncultured bacterium. Its description in RNAcentral is "partial 16S ribosomal RNA". It matches the Rfam family "Bacterial small subunit ribosomal RNA", at positions 338 to 795 of the family's 1533-position model. The record is from RNAcentral.
CCUACGGGAGGCAGCAGUGAGGAAUAUUGGUCAAUGGGAGAGAUCCUGAACCAGCCAAGCCGCGUGCGGGAAGACGGCCCUAUGGGUUGUAAACCUCUUUUGUCGGAGAACAAAACCCGGGACGUGUCCCGGACUGCGUGUAUCCGAAGAAAAAGCAUCGGCUAACUCCGUGCCAGCAGCCGCGGUAAUACGGAGGAUGCGAGCGUUAUCCGGAUUUAUUGGGUUUAAAGGGUGCGUAGGCGGUCCGUUAAGUCAGCGGUAAAAUUGCGGGGCUCAACCCCGCCGAGCCGGUGAAACUGGCAGACUUGAGUUGGCGAGAAGUACGCGGAAUGCGCGGUGUAGCGGUGAAAUGCAUAGAUAUCGCGCAGAACUCCGAUUGCGAAGGCAGCGUACUGGCGCCAGACUGACGCUGAGGCACGAAAGCGUGGGGAUCGAACAGGAUUAGAUACCCCUGUAGUC